RNAcentral lists this ribosomal RNA (407 nucleotides) under Gordonia terrae. Its description in RNAcentral is "bacterial SSU rRNA". It matches the Rfam family "Bacterial small subunit ribosomal RNA", at positions 28 to 435 of the family's 1533-position model. The record is from RNAcentral. Lineage: Bacteria; Bacillati; Actinomycetota; Actinomycetes; Mycobacteriales; Gordoniaceae.
GACGAACGCUGGCGGCGUGCUUAACACAUGCAAGUCGAACGGAAAGGCCCAGCUUGCUGGGUACUCGAGUGGCGAACGGGUGAGUAACACGUGGGUGAUCUGCCCUGCACUCUGGGAUAAGCCUGGGAAACUGGGUCUAAUACCGGAUAUGACCGACUGUCGCAUGGUGGUUGGUGGAAAGCUUUUGCGGUGUGGGAUGGGCCCGCGGCCUAUCAGCUUGUUGGUGGGGUAAUGGCCUACCAAGGCGACGACGGGUAGCCGACCUGAGAGGGUGAUCGGCCACACUGGGACUGAGACACGGCCCAGACUCCUACGGGAGGCAGCAGUGGGGAAUAUUGCACAAUGGGCGCAAGCCUGAUGCAGCGACGCCGCGUGAGGGAUGACGGCCUUCGGGUUGUAAACCUCUU